Molecule: long non-coding RNA, 932 nt
Organism: Herpailurus yagouaroundi (jaguarundi)
Lineage: Eukaryota; Metazoa; Chordata; Mammalia; Carnivora; Felidae
Exons: 4
Source: RefSeq, a predicted model, not a curated record
UUUCAGGUCCAUGCCAGAACAAUUGCACAGUGCACCAUGAUGCUUGCCACUGUAUCCACAGGGAAAUGGGACAAGUACCCAAGGACAGGAGAUGGUGAGGACACCUGAGAAGACCCUAUGUGACCUGUCCCCUCCCACCCCCAUCAAACAGCAUGCUCCUGCUCCAGUUUCACAGUUCGCAUCCAAAUUUAACAGUUCAGAGAAGAGUUGAGUUUCUGCAGCUGCUGGAGCACACUGGAAUAUCACAUUAAAACAGCUUCCCAGGAGUGAGCAGAUUUCAUUUUUAGGUAAUCUCUACAAACAACAUGGGGCUCGAACUCACAACCCCAAGAUCAACAGUCGCAUGCUCCACCAACUAAGCCAGUCAAGUGCCUGCUAGAUACAGUAUGUUAUGUUUGUUCGAUCCUCUUCUACCUAACCUUAAAUGGGUCAAAUCUUCCAGAGCUCCCUUUUACCUAAUGAAUAAAAGCCAAACUGCUUAGACUGACAUAAAAUUCACCUCACCCUAGCCAGUCUUUCUCCUUUUAUUUUUAUUCCUUUUGCUUUGAAAGUUAUUAUGAGAAAAAUAGCAGUUAAUCACAUUAACUGCAUUAUAUUUAGCAAAAUACUAUGCAUAUUUUGCUAUUCUCUUGCUUAUUGUUUCCGUAAGUCAUGCCUCUGCUGAAGGCCAGAUAGAGAGUAUGACUAAGCCCAUAGAAGAGCCAGGCUGGGAAAGGAUGGCUAACGUCCUGCAAAAACCCAUGGUCAGAAAUUGACCCAAUAGGUUGAUGACCAAGACAGCUGAGAGAUCUGAAAUGGUUCAGGGCCAGGAUAUGAUGGUAGUGCUGGGAGGUAGGGGAAUGUCACAAGAAGUCAGUAGCUAAGCCAGAACUGAGAAAUGAGUAUGGGUCCCAGAAGUAAAACCUUAGGGAAUUAAAUAUAAAGGUAUGAAA